AAAAACAAGGUAGGGGGAAAAGAAAAGAAAUAAAGCCAAAAUAAAUUAAUAAAUAAAGUGUCCGGUCCACAUUAAAGACCCCCCAAUUUAUUAAUUUAUUUUGGCUUUAUUUCUUUUCUUUUCCCCCUACCUUGUUUAU
Molecule: non-coding RNA, 139 nt
Organism: Pelobates cultripes (western spadefoot toad)
Lineage: Eukaryota; Metazoa; Chordata; Amphibia; Anura; Pelobatidae
Source: the annotation of a GenBank genome assembly